GUGGGGAAUAUUGGGCAAUGGAGGCAACUCUGACCCAGCCAUGCCGCGUGCAGGAUGACGGCCCUCUGGGUUGUAAACUGCUUUUAUACGGGAAGAAAAAAUACUACGUGUAGUAUACUGACGGUACCGUAAGAAUAAGGAUCGGCUAACUCCGUGCCAGCAGCCGCGGUAAUACGGAGGAUCCAAGCGUUGUCCGGAUUUAUUGGGUUUAAAGGGUGCGUAGGCGGAUCUUUAAGUCAGUGGUGAAAGCCUGCAGCUUAACUGUAGAAUUGCCAUUGAAACUGAAGAUCUUGAAUGUGGUUAAAGUAGGCGGAAUGUAUCAUGUAGCGGUGAAAUGCUUAGAUAUGAUACAGAACACCGAUAGCGAAGGCAGCUUGCUGAACCAUUAUUGACGCUGAGGCACGAAAGCGUGGGGAGCGAACAGGAUUAGAAACCCUUGUAGUCC
Molecule: ribosomal RNA, 445 nt
Filed under: uncultured bacterium
Lineage: Bacteria
Description: partial 16S ribosomal RNA
Rfam family: Bacterial small subunit ribosomal RNA
Source: RNAcentral